RNAcentral lists this ribosomal RNA (684 nucleotides) under Triticum aestivum (bread wheat). RNAcentral's name for it is "partial small subunit ribosomal RNA". Lineage: Eukaryota; Viridiplantae; Streptophyta; Magnoliopsida; Poales; Poaceae. The record is from RNAcentral.
AUGGAGACCAGCGCCAGCGGGGCGGAGCCCGCGAACGCCGGGAUCGAGGGGUCCGCCGACCCAUGCAGCUCCGCGGGCGGCGGUCAUCGACUCUCAGUGCACCAGAUCGUUGGCGGCGGCAAAGCUGCUGAUAUCAUCUUAUGGAAGUGUAAACGUGCUACUGUUGGUGUUAUAUUUGGUGCUACUAUUGCAUGGUGGUUGUUCGAGAAGUCCGAACUAUCGUUCUUGACUAUCUGCUGUGAUGUACUGCUCAUUUUGAUAGUUGUACAGCUCAUAUGGGUCAAAAUAUCUGGGUUGCUAAAUAAGCAACCUAGGCAACUGCCUGAGUUAGUUCUGUCAGAGGAGAUGGUUAAUAAUGCUGCGGCUUCAUUCCGUGUUAAAGUGAACAACAUGCUAAUGAUUGCACAUGACAUUACUCUUGGCAAAGACUUCCGGCUCUUUUUCCAGGUUGUGUCAGUCCUGUGGUUGCUAUCUGUUAUUGGCAAUUUCUACUCUUCUGUAACUCUUGCUUAUAUAGGAACCAUUGCUUUGGUGACAGUACCUGUACUUUACCAUAGACACCAAGAGCACGUGGACAGGUAUGCUGGGAUGGUCCACCGGAAUAUCUCAAGGCAUUACAAGAUCGUCGACGAAAAUGUGAUAAGCAGACUACCUAGAAGCUUCAUCAGAGAUAAAAAUGAUUGA